RNAcentral lists this ribosomal RNA (253 nucleotides) under uncultured bacterium. RNAcentral describes it as "partial 16S ribosomal RNA". It matches the Rfam family "Bacterial small subunit ribosomal RNA", at positions 524 to 776 of the family's 1533-position model. The record is from RNAcentral.
UACGGGGGGGGCAAGCGUUGUUCGGAAUUACUGGGCGUAAAGGGCUCGUAGGCGGCCAACUAAGUCGGAUGUGAAAUCCCCAGGCUCAACUUGGGAACUGCAUCCGAUACUGGAUGGCUUGAAUCCGGGAGAGGGAUGCAGAAUUCCAGGUGUAGCGGUGAAAUGCGUAGAUAUCUGGAGGAAUACCGGUGGCGAAGGCGGCAUCCUGGACCAUUACUGACACUGAAAAGCGAAAGCCAGGGGAGCAAACGGG